This 587-nucleotide long non-coding RNA is filed under the name Equus caballus (horse). RNAcentral describes it as "lncRNA (ENSECAG00000046814.1)". The record is from RNAcentral. Lineage: Eukaryota; Metazoa; Chordata; Mammalia; Perissodactyla; Equidae.
ACUCUCUCUCUCUCUCUCUCUCUCUCUCUCUGCCAUGUGAGAGGCAGCCAUCUGCAAGCCAGGAUCUCACUAGAAUCCGACCAUGCUAGCACCCAGAUCUUGGACUUCCAGCCUCCAGAACUGUGAGAAAAUGCAGUCCUGUUUUUCAAGCCACCUGGACCAUAACAGACGAGUAUAGGUCUACAUAUAUCAACUGGUUUGAGAUGUUUAUCCAUAUUAAUCAGAUCUACAUUCUGCUUACUUGUAUGUGCUUUAUUUUCAACUUCUGAGCUUGACCAGAAAGAAGAAUGACCACAUCAAAGCCUGUAGCUCUCCUGCAUGGUGGCAAAAAUUUGAACUUGGUGUUUGAAGAACAUGAUAAAAGAGGGGGAGGAGAAGAAUAGCCACAGAUCUUCUGGUCAUUAACUGCAUUAUGUCAGGCUGGUCACUGAAGCCACGUAAUCCUUAUUUUCCUAACGUGUCACUUGAGAAUGUAGAAUUAGAUAUUCAUUGAAUUCCCUUCAAGUUUCAUAGUCAAUGAUUCUAAUUAAAUGUAUGAUAUUUGGGGGUAAAUAUAAAUAGCAUGGUAGGUGAGGCCUACCUUUACU